UUGUUACACAAACACUCCAUUUGAGAACGGAUAGAAUUCCUGAUCGCUGGCGUAUACCUAAAUUCUAACAUAUAUAAAGUGUAUGAAGUUUGUGAUUAAACAAAUUUAUAUUUAAAGUAUAGGAAACAUGAGUAUUAUUAAUUGUCUCUUGAUUUGUCUUACAAUGAAAAAUUUUGCUUUAUUGUUCAAAAGAAUUAUUAUGAUAUGUGUUUAAUCCAAUCAAAUACUCCUCUACAUUACUCCCACAAAUUACAUAAAGUAAUAGAGGCGUAAUGAAGAGGAAUAUCAACCGCCCCAACUUCACGCAACAGAAGGAGAAACAAAGAGCGACGAUUUUCUCGCGCUUUUUACCAAAAAGGCUUAUUAUUAUCCCGCCAACACUACAAGCAAUCAACAAGAGAAAACGGAAAGCAACAGGAGCGAUACCCAAGUGAACACAGAGAACAUCAAGCAAAGUGAAUAUCAUAUAAUUUCGUCAACGAUAACAAGUGAACACAACAAGAUCCACGCAAAUUCAUCAACAAUACUCCACAGCGAGGGAAUAAACCCAACACACAAAACGGAUAAAAAUAUUUGUAAUUACAAGAACAUGUAUGUAUAUUAACACUAGCUAAUAAGAAAUUAAGCACAUUUAAUCAAUAUUGGAAACACAUACACACACACUCAUAGUUGUAUAAUCCCAAUGAAGUAUUAAAUUCGUAAAUUAUAACGUUUGAACUAAAACGAAUAUUUUUUAAUUAAACGCAAUCGGCCCCAUACGUCGACAUACCCCGACAUUUUUGGUCCUAUCGAGCCGCGAUAAUUAAAAGAAAAAAUCUUCGUGGGAAUUUUAACAACAGCAUCAUCGUUGGAAUUCCACAACCCAACCUGAAGGUUUUAAACAGUGCACCCAACAAACAAAAAGCUUGCAUGCUGGACCCCCAAAUACCCCAACGAUUAAAUAAAACCAAAAACCGGGAAAAAGCUAUUCUGCAAGGUGGCCGGGAUGUUUAAUGCAAUCAAAUACUCCUCUGCAUUACUCCCACAAAUUACAUAAAGUUAUAGAGGCGUAAUGCAGAGGAAUAUCAACCGCCCCAACUUCACGCAACAGAAGGAGAAACAAAAAGAGACGAUUUUCCCGCGCUUUUUACCAAGAAGACUUAUUAUUAUCCAGCCAACACUACAAACAAUCAACAAGUGAAAACGGAAAGCAACAGGAGCGAUACCCAAGUGAACACAGAGAACAUCAAACAAAGUGAAUAUCAUACAAUUUCUUCAACGAUAACAAGUGAACACAAUAAGUGAGACAUAUUAUAAGUGAGUACGAGUGUAAUAAAACGUUUUCAAACAAGUAAUACGGAUACAACAUAAGGAUCCACGCAAAUUCAUCAACAAUACUCCACAGCGAGGGACUAAACCUAACACACAAAACGGAUAAAAAUAUUUGUAAUUUCAAGAACAUGUAUGUAUGUUCAGUGUUAAUAGAAAUUUAACACUAGCUAAUAAGAAAUUAAGCACAUUUAAUCAAUAUUGGAAACACACACACACACUCAUAGUUGUAUAAACCCAAUGAAGUAUUAAAUUCAUAAAUUAUAACGUUUGAACUAAAACCAAUAUCUUUUAUUUCUUUUGGUCCACUCGUUAUCAAUUAUAAUUUCCAAUUUGUCCACGAAUAAGUUAACUAACAGCUCUAUUCUGAAAAAACCUCUCAACUGAGUUGAUAGGAAAAAUUUGGGAGAUUUCUUGUGAGGCAUAUUUUGUGAAGCUAUUCUUGCUCAAACCUCAUAAGAAAAAAGCUUAAACAAGUCACCAUGAGUACAAAAACCGAAAGGACAACUCAGGAGCAGCUGCAACAUUAUGUAAUGUUUUGCAAGCAGCAUCCUGAGUUGCAACGGGGGAAGCUAACUCCGACCAACCCUUAAGGGCUGCAAAUACUUUGGUCGGAGUUAGCAGAUACCUUAAAUGCCUUAAGAGGUCCAACUCGGUCGGAGUCCUUAAUGCAUUGGAAACAUCAGUUGCGAUCGCGAGCGCGCAAACUUAAGACACAUGCGCAAGCGACUGGUGGAGGCCCUCCGAUAAAAGGAAUAACGCAGUUCGAGGAGCAAGCCAUUUGGGGCAGCAGCGGUGGAUGGAUUGCCGGUGUGGGGACUUUGGGUCACCAGAUUUUGCCGCCGUUGUAUUUAAAUACAGAACCAGUUCUCGCUCAACCUCCAGCUUCCUUCCCAACAGUCACAUUGCCUGUUCCAGCUUUUCCAGCUCUCUCAAUCAAUUUUUCUUCCUCACCAUCACCUCCAGAUUUGUCCUCUUCUUCCUUAUCUCCUCCCAUCUUACGUUCUCCUAUGCCAUCGCCUACUUACAUUCCUUCUGAAGGUAAAUUGACUGCAGCGAAGAUGCUUGGAGCAGUGCUAAAAAAAAUGGAGGACCUUAAAAAGCGAGAGGAGGAGGCCAUUGCUCUACAAAAGAAAAUUGUAGAGCAAAACGAGCAGAUGACGAACCAAAUGUCACAAGCACUAACCUCGAUGUCAGAGGUUAUGGUUAAAUUGUGCGAAUAAAAUAAAUAAUAAUAAAAUUAAAAUAUAUUGAUUUAUUUAAACAUAUGUAUUGUAUUGUGCGCAAAAUUAAAUAAAUAAUAAUAAAACUAA
Long non-coding RNA from Bactrocera dorsalis (oriental fruit fly), 2621 nucleotides. RefSeq lists it as uncharacterized. Lineage: Eukaryota; Metazoa; Arthropoda; Insecta; Diptera; Tephritidae. The record is from RefSeq and is a predicted model, not a curated record. The transcript is spliced from 6 exons.